Long non-coding RNA from Synchiropus splendidus (mandarinfish), 395 nucleotides. RefSeq lists it as uncharacterized. The transcript has 2 exons. Lineage: Eukaryota; Metazoa; Chordata; Actinopteri; Syngnathiformes; Callionymidae. The record is from RefSeq and is a predicted model, not a curated record.
GUCUCUAACGGCACACUAGUGUGCUGCGGCACUGUUCUAGACAACUUAACUCUCUCUGGGUGACCUGCCAGACUCCUGCUCCCAUUCAUCGGUGCAGUGGAUGUUCGUACUGAAGAGCCCAAGAAGAGGAAACAGGAACCUCAACGACCAAGAGCCCAGAGUGGGCAUUGGAGUUACAUUCACAAACUGGCAAGAACCAACGACUACUAAUGGCCUCACAUGCUGAAAUGACGACGUUUGGACUGGAUGGUCCACUCUCCAUGGUCCUGUCCACCAAGGUGGUGCAUGGUGUGAGGGGGCAGGAUGGCCAUGGGGGGCUCCUGGUCAACAGUGGGUCGUGCCUUUAGCAGCUGAGAGUGAGGGUGGAGCUGGCGGUGGGGCAAGAGCAGGAUACC